This is a non-coding RNA of Rhamnusium bicolor, 75 nucleotides long. The record is from the annotation of a GenBank genome assembly. Lineage: Eukaryota; Metazoa; Arthropoda; Insecta; Coleoptera; Cerambycidae.
GGCUUCGUAGUCAAACGAUAACGACAUUUGCUUCUCACGCUGGAGUUCCGGGUUCGAUCCUCGGUCGCGGGGCUG